GGAUACACAAUUAAAUCUGAAUUUCAGAUGAACAGUGAGUAAUUUUUUAGUAUAAGUAUGUCUCAUGCAAUAUUUGGGACAUACUUAUACUGAAACUCUAUUCAUUUAUCUGAAAUUCAAAUUUAGCUGGGCAUC
This 135-nucleotide microRNA precursor is filed under the name Vicugna pacos (alpaca). Its description in RNAcentral is "miRNA (ENSVPAG00000016977.1)". The stretch from base 44 to 95 matches the Rfam family "mir-1302 microRNA precursor family". The record is from RNAcentral. Lineage: Eukaryota; Metazoa; Chordata; Mammalia; Artiodactyla; Camelidae.